Molecule: long non-coding RNA, 330 nt
Organism: Sorex araneus (European shrew)
Lineage: Eukaryota; Metazoa; Chordata; Mammalia; Eulipotyphla; Soricidae
Exons: 3
Source: RefSeq, a predicted model, not a curated record
UUUCAUCCUAGAGAAUAAGCUGAUUCCUGCAAUAAACGGCCAUGCGGGGGUCACUGAGGAAGUUUACAGGCCUCUGGAGACUCCAGUCUGUAUGGAGAACAGGGACUACUCCUGGCUUUGCACUCAGGAAUUGCUCCUGGAGGUUCUCAGGGGACCAUAUGGGAUGAUGCUGGGAAUCGAAUCUGGGUCGGCUGCAUGCAAGGUAAUUCUGGCUGCAAGGCAGGGUCUGUACUUUCAGUUACACAGCAUCACGUGCCCAUGUCUUGAAGGAAAACCCGAAAGAAUGAAUUUUCACCCUGCACAGAGCCGGGACUCUCACCUGGAGAUAAG